AUCUGUUAGCUGUACUUGCUCACGACGGACACUUGGGACUCCUCCCUCCCUCCCUCUGACAACCACCCAUGGAUCCAAAACACUCCUCACCGCGGCCACCACCUCUAACCCGACCCGGUCCCGAAUCCCAGUAAUCUUGUUCCGGAUUCAGCUGAUAGACGCCAAGAACUGGGCUUCAAGUCCCAUCCGGGUGUGUGACCGACAACGAGGUAGGAGCAGGAUGUCAAGCAGGAACGAAGAAGUUUUGAAGCUUAAAAACAAGGUUUAUCAUUAUAUAUGAUUAUAUAUUAUUGAAUGCCAAGAGGAAACGCUGCGGCUGUUGCAGGAGAAACAGGGGUGGCCUGCCAAAUCUAAUCUUAUGGAAGAGACAAAAGAAAGAGCUGUAGCUGACUUGACAAGACAAUCGACCGAAACAUCUGAAUUUGACAAGGAACUCAUCGAUCUGUACAAGGCCUUGAAGCGUGAGGAGAAGUCUGAAACCAAUCUAAAAGAUAUUUUUGACGCGAUGCAAGCUUCGCAUGAGGAAUAUAGGAAAGCUAUGGAAAAAAAGCUGACAGAAGUAGAGUGUACGUUGGAUACUGUAGAUAAGAGAUUGUCAGUGACGCUAGA
RNAcentral lists this long non-coding RNA (609 nucleotides) under Rosa chinensis. RNAcentral's name for it is "sRNA RchiOBHm_Chr1g0316861". Lineage: Eukaryota; Viridiplantae; Streptophyta; Magnoliopsida; Rosales; Rosaceae. The record is from RNAcentral.